AUGAAUAAGUUCCGAAGCACGCUUAAUAGAUCAAAUUUGCACGAAAUUCAAUUGAUCGGGCGCCAUUUCACAUGGAGCAAUGAGCAAACCUCGCCAACGCUCGUGAGAUUGGAUCGUGCGUUCUGCAAUGUUGAGUGGGAACUGCUCUUCCCCGGAGCAAAGCUGCUGCCCCAAUCAUCCGCCAUAUCGGAUCACUGCCCCUUGCUCCUGGUAAACGACGUAGUCACCAAAACUAAUAGGUGGUUCCGUUUCGAGGCAUAUUGGCAGCACAUCCAGGGGUUUCGGGAGGUGGUGGAUCAAUCUUGGAACCUCCCAGUCAGGAACUCGUGCCCGAUCACUAGGUUCAACGCUAAACUGCACCGACUCAGUAAAGCCCUUAGAGCAUGGAGCAGAACGCUCGUGGGGGACAUUCAGAAACAGCUUAUGAUAGUGAACGAGCUAAUCCUACAACUAGACACGGCCCAAGACUACAGAUCGCUUAAUACGGAUGAGAGUGAAUUAAGGUCAAAACUGAAAUCACGAUGCAUGGGGCUUGCCAUUCUCCUGAAAAUUAAACUGAGGCAGCGAAGUAGAAUCCUUUGGCUAAAGGCAGGAGACGCUAACACCAAAUUUUUUGAAAGGAAAGCCAAUGCUAGGCAUAAACGCAACACAAUCCACAUCCUACAGGGACCAUCUGGACCGGUAUCCUCCUCGACGGAGAUGGGCGAGCUUGCUCACAUACAUUUCCAGAAUUUAUUUGGCAACGAGCAACCGCGGUCCACUGCCCUCAAUUGGGACAAGCUUGAGCUGGACCUGUUGGAUCUCUCAGAUCUUGAGGGGGAAUUAUCUCUUGACGAAAUUAAACGAGCUAUA
RNAcentral lists this ribosomal RNA (852 nucleotides) under Triticum aestivum (bread wheat). RNAcentral describes it as "partial small subunit ribosomal RNA". The record is from RNAcentral. Lineage: Eukaryota; Viridiplantae; Streptophyta; Magnoliopsida; Poales; Poaceae.